RNAcentral lists this transfer RNA (67 nucleotides) under Rhinotermes hispidus. RNAcentral's name for it is "tRNA-Asp". Lineage: Eukaryota; Metazoa; Arthropoda; Insecta; Blattodea; Rhinotermitidae. The record is from RNAcentral.
AAAGGAUUAGUUAACAAAUAUAACAUCAGCAUGUCAAGCUGAAGUAACCAAAACAAGGUAUCCUUUU